UACGGAGGGUGCGAGCGUUGUCCGGAAUCAUUGGGCGUAAAGGGCGCGUAGGUGGCCCGGUCAGUUCGUGGUGAAAGCGCGGGGCUCAACCCUGCGUCGGCCAUGAAUACUGCCGCGGCUGGAGCACUGUAGAGGCAGGCGGAAUUCCGGGUGUAGCGGUGGAAUGCUUAGAUAUCGUCAAGAACACCGAUAGUGAAGACAGCUAACUAAGCUUUAACUGACGCUGAGGCACGAAAGUGUGGGGAUCAAACAGG
Molecule: ribosomal RNA, 254 nt
Filed under: uncultured bacterium
Lineage: Bacteria
Description: partial 16S ribosomal RNA
Rfam family: Bacterial small subunit ribosomal RNA
Source: RNAcentral